UACGGGGGAUGCAAGCGUUAUCCGGAUUUAUUGGGUUUAAAGGGUGCGUAGGCUGUGAGGUAAGUCAGAGGUGAAAGGCUACGGCUCAACCGUAGUAAGCCUUUGAAACUGGGAAACUUGAGUGCAGGAGAGGAGAGUGGAAUUCCUAGUGUAGCGGUGAAAUGCGUAGAUAUUAGGAGGAACACCAGUUGCGAAGGCGGCUCUCUGGACUGUAACUGACACUGAGGCACGAAAGCGUGGGGAGCAAACAGG
Molecule: ribosomal RNA, 252 nt
Filed under: uncultured bacterium
Lineage: Bacteria
Description: partial 16S ribosomal RNA
Rfam family: Bacterial small subunit ribosomal RNA
Source: RNAcentral